AGAGAUCUACCAAACCCAGGGUAUCUUCCUUGAUCAGCCUUUACAGUAAAAAUGACCCAUCUAUGGCUGCUUAAUGUAUCCAUAAUCCACAAAGCAUAUUUAAAAGGCUCUUGGCACGGGCAGCAUUGGUUGAGCAGCAGAGCUCUGUUACAGAUAUGAAAACAAAAUGUGACACAAUGAAGAAGCUGCAUAAAAAUACUGAAACCUAAGCAAAAACAUUUCUUUUUCAAGCUGCAAUGGCACUGAAGCACAAUAAAAGGCAAGAAAAGACCAAGGGAAUUUAACCCUCCACAAAAGAAUCCCAAACCAACCAAACAAAACAAAAACCAGACACCACCAACUGCUUCUGCCUGCAUGAACUGGUUUCCCAUUUUUGCUUUAAUAAGGCAGUUCCGAUGGCAAAGGCUGUA
RNAcentral lists this small RNA (410 nucleotides) under Pan troglodytes (chimpanzee). Its description in RNAcentral is "processed transcript". Lineage: Eukaryota; Metazoa; Chordata; Mammalia; Primates; Hominidae. The record is from RNAcentral.